CAGGCUUAACACAUGCAAGUCGAGGGGCAGCAUGGUCUUAGCUUGCUAAGGCCGAUGGCGACCGGCGCACGGGUGAGUAACACGUAUCCAACCUGCCGUCUACUCUUGGACAGCCUUCUGAAAGGAAGAUUAAUACAAGAUGGCAUCAUGAGUCCGCAUGUUCACAUGAUUAAAGGUAUUCCGGUAGACGAUGGGGAUGCGUUCCAUUAGAUAGUAGGCGGGGUAACGGCCCACCUAGUCUUCGAUGGAUAGGGGUUCUGAGAGGAAGGUCCCCCACAUUGGAACUGAGACACGGUCCAAACUCCUACGGGAGGCAGCAGUGAGGAAUAUUGGUCAAUGGGCGAGAGCCUGAACCAGCCAAGUAGCGUGAAGGAUGACUGCCCUAUGGGUUGUAAACUUCUUUUAUAAAGGAAUAAAGUCGGGUAUGGAUACCCGUUUGCAUGUACUUUAUGAAUAAGGAUCGGCUAACUCCGUGCCAGCAGCCGCGGUAAUACGGAGGAUCCGAGCGUUAUCCGGAUUUAUUGGGUUUAAAGGGAGCGUAGAUGGAUGUUUAAGUCAGUUGUGAAAGUUUGCGGCUCAACCGUAAAAUUGCAGUUGAUACUGGAUAUCUUGAGUGCAGUUGAGGCAGGCGGAAUUCGUGGUGUAGCGGUGAAAUGCUUAGAUAUCACGAAGAACUCCGAUUGCGAAGGCAGCCUGCUAAGCUGCAACUGACAUUGAGGCUCGAAAGUGUGGGUAUCAAACAGGAUUAGAUACCCUGGUAGUCCACACGGUAAACGAUGAAUACUCGCUGUUUGCGAUAUACUGCAAGCGGCCAAGCGAAAGCGUUAGGUAUUCCACCUGGGGAGUACGCCGGCAACGGUGAAACUCAAAGGAAUUGACGGGGGCCCGCACAAGCGGAGGAACAUGUGGUUUAAUUCGAUGAUACGCGAGGAACCUUACCCGGGCUUAAAUUGCAGAUGAAUUACGGUGAAAGCCGUAAGCCGCAAGGCAUCUGUGAAGGUGCUGCAUGGUUGUCGUCAGCUCGUGCCGUGAGGUGUCGGCUUAAGUGCCAUAACGAGCGCAACCCUUGUUGUCAGUUACUAACAGGUUCCGCUGAGGACUCUGACAAGACUGCCAUCGUAAGAUGUGAGGAAGGUGGGGAUGACGUCAAAUCAGCACGGCCCUUACGUCCGGGGCUACACACGUGUUACAAUGGGGGGUACAGAGGGCCGCUACCACGCGAGUGGAUGCCAAUCCCCAAAACCUCUCUCAGUUCGGACUGGAGUCUGCAACCCGACUCCACGAAGCUGGAUUCGCUAGUAAUCGCGCAUCAGCCACGGCGCGGUGAAUACGUUCCCGGGCCUUGUACACACCGCCCGUCAAGCCAUGGGAGCCGGGGGUACCUGAAGUGCGUAACCGCGAGGAGCGCCCUAGGGUAAAACUGGUGACUGGGGCUAAGUC
This 1440-nucleotide ribosomal RNA is filed under the name uncultured organism. RNAcentral describes it as "16S ribosomal RNA". It matches the Rfam family "Bacterial small subunit ribosomal RNA". The record is from RNAcentral.